RNAcentral lists this ribosomal RNA (540 nucleotides) under Mycobacterium visibile. RNAcentral's name for it is "bacterial SSU rRNA". It matches the Rfam family "Bacterial small subunit ribosomal RNA", at positions 46 to 581 of the family's 1533-position model. Lineage: Bacteria; Bacillati; Actinomycetota; Actinomycetes; Mycobacteriales; Mycobacteriaceae. The record is from RNAcentral.
GCCUAACACAUGCAAGUCGAACGGAAAGGUCUCUAAAAAAUUUUUAGAGAUACUCGAGUGGCGAACGGGUGAGUAACACGUGGGCAAUCUACCCUGCACUUUGGGAUAAGCCUGGGAAACCGGGUCUAAUACUGGAUAGGACCUUGAGACGCAUGUCUUGUGGUGGAAAGCUUUUGCGGUGUGGGAUGAGCCCGCGGCCUAUCAGCUUGUUGGUGGGGUAACGGCCUACCAAGGCGACGACGGGUAGCCGGCCUGAGAGGGUGUCCGGCCACACUGGGACUGAGAUACGGCCCAGACUUCUACGGGAGGCAGCAGUGGGGAAUAUUGCACAAUGGGCGCAAGCCUGAUGCAGCGACGCCGCGUGAGGGAUGACGGCCUUCGGGUUGUAAACCUCUUUCACCAUCGACGAAGGUUCGGGUUUUCUCGGGUUGACGGUAGGUGGAGAAGAAGCACCGGUCAACUACGUGCCAGCAGCCGCGGUAAUACGUAGGGUGCGAGCGUUGUCCGGAAUUACUGGGCGUAAAAGCUCGUAGGUGGGUU